AACGAGAAAGGUUCUUUUCGGAGACCGAGUAGAGUGGCGCACGGGUGAGUAACACGUGGAUAAUCUACCUUCGAGAUUGGGACAACCAUUCGAAAGGAUGGCUAAUACCGGAUAAAGUUCAUGACUGUCAAGGUUAUGGAUGAAAGACAGCCUCUGCAUAUGCUGUUGCUUGGAGAUGAGUCCGCGUACCAUUAGCUGGUUGGUGGGGUAAAGGCCUACCAAGGCAACGAUGGUUAGCUGGUCUGAGAGGAUGAUCAGCCACACUGGAACUGGAACACGGUCCAGACUCCUACGGGAGGCAGCAGUGAGGGAUUUUGCGCAAUGGGGGAAACCCUGACGCAGCAACGCCGCGUGAGUGAAGAAGGUCUUUGGGUCGUAAAGCUCUGUCAACAGGGAAGAAGUUAACAUAUAUUAAUAGUAUAUGUUAUUGACGGUACCUGUGAAGGAAGCACCGGCUAACUCCGUGCCAGCAGCCGCGGUAACACGGGGGGUGCAAGCGUUAUUCGGAAUUAUUGGGCGUAAAGGGCGCGUAGGCGGUAAUGUCAGUCAGAUGUGAAAGCCCGGGGCUCAACCCCGGAAGAGCAUUUGAAACAGCAUAACUUGAGUACGGGAGAGGAAAGCGGAAUUCCU
This 630-nucleotide ribosomal RNA is filed under the name uncultured bacterium. Its description in RNAcentral is "bacterial SSU rRNA". It matches the Rfam family "Bacterial small subunit ribosomal RNA", at positions 65 to 671 of the family's 1533-position model. The record is from RNAcentral.